Non-coding RNA from Acanthosepion pharaonis, 111 nucleotides. The record is from the annotation of a GenBank genome assembly. Lineage: Eukaryota; Metazoa; Mollusca; Cephalopoda; Sepiida; Sepiidae.
CACCAUAUCACAUUGAAACACCAGUUCUUGUACGAUCACUGAAGUUAAGGCAGUGCUGAGCCUGUUCAGUACCUAAAUGGGUUACUGCUUGGGAAUACCAGAUGCUGCAAG